Molecule: small RNA, 420 nt
Filed under: Cryptosporidium parvum
Lineage: Eukaryota; Apicomplexa; Conoidasida; Eucoccidiorida; Cryptosporidiidae
Description: antisense_RNA
Source: RNAcentral
UUACCUGUCUGAACCUUGUCAAAACAUAAGCUAAAUCCUCACUGUUCACAUAUCUCACAGGAUCUCUAUUUAUUUCAAGGUUAUAAGUUGUCAAAAAUUCUCCAUACCUUCUUCCGAGUGAAUCAUCUGGAAAAGCCAUUAAAUCUUUAAUCGAAUAUUUUGAUGAAUCUAUCAAUGGUCUAUUCUUUAUUAUUCUUCUACCAUCUGGCGUGGAGUUCAUCAAAAUCUGUAAUCUUCUCAAAGCUCUAUUUGAGGUAAGUUCAGUGAUGCAUGCAACUGAAUUAGAAUCAGUUGGAUUUUUAAGACCUUCUACACAGCUUGUAACUGACAGCAAAACUUUCUCAAAUUGCGUUAUAGGGAUAUAAUUCUUCCUAAAUAGCUCUCUAAAAUCUCCUCCCUUUAAGCUUGAAGCGGUUCUCU